This 472-nucleotide ribosomal RNA is filed under the name uncultured bacterium. RNAcentral's name for it is "bacterial SSU rRNA". It matches the Rfam family "Bacterial small subunit ribosomal RNA", at positions 335 to 802 of the family's 1533-position model. The record is from RNAcentral.
ACUCCUACGGAGAGCAGAGGUGGAAUAUUGCACAAUGGGCGCAAGCCUGAUGCAGCCAUGCCGCGUGUGUGAAGAAGGCCUUCGGGUUGUAAAGCACUUUCAGUCGUGAGGAAGGUAGUGUAGUUAAUAGCUGCAUUAUUUGACGUUAGCGACAGAAGAAGCACCGGCUAACUCCGUGCCAGCAGCCGCGGUAAUACGGAGGGUGCGAGCGUUAAUCGGAAUUACUGGGCGUAAAGCGCAUGCAGGUGGUUUGUUAAGUCAGAUGUGAAAGCCCGGGGCUCAACCUCGGAAUUGCAUUUGAAACUGGCAGACUAGAGUACUGUAGAGGGGGGUAGAAUUUCAGGUGUAGCGGUGAAAUGCGUAGAGAUCUGAAGGAAUACCGGUGGCGAAGGCGGCCCCCUGGACAGAUACUGACACUCAGAUGCGAAAGCGUGGGGAGCAAACAGGAUUAGAUACCCUGGUAGCUACGAGU